CCUACGGGCGGCAGCAGUCGAGAAUCAUUCACAAUGGGGGAAACCCUGAUGGUGCGACGCCGCGUGGGGGAAUGAAGGUCUUCGGAUUGUAAACCCCUGUCAUGUGGGCGCAAAUUAAAAAGAUAGUACCACACGAGGAAGAGACGGCUAAUUCUGUGCCAGCAGCGACGGUAAUACAGAGGUCUCAAGCGUUGUUCGGAAUCACUGGGCGUAAAGCGUGCGUAGCCUGAUUCGUAAGUAGUGUGUGAAAGGCGCGGGCUCAACUCGCGGACGGCACAUGAUACUGCGAGACUAGAGUAAUGGAGGGGGAACCGGAAUUCUUGGUGUAGCAGUGAAAUGCGUAGAUAUCGAGAAGAACACUCGUGGCGAAGGCGGGUUCCUGGACAUUAACUGACGCUGAGGCACGAAGGCCAGGGGAGCGAAAGGGAUUAGAUACCCUAGUAGUC
This 446-nucleotide ribosomal RNA is filed under the name uncultured bacterium. Its description in RNAcentral is "partial 16S ribosomal RNA". It matches the Rfam family "Bacterial small subunit ribosomal RNA", at positions 338 to 795 of the family's 1533-position model. The record is from RNAcentral.